Molecule: long non-coding RNA, 286 nt
Filed under: Brassica napus (rape)
Lineage: Eukaryota; Viridiplantae; Streptophyta; Magnoliopsida; Brassicales; Brassicaceae
Description: long non-coding RNA (BNAP_LNC016953)
Source: RNAcentral
GUGAGUACUUGAAGAGCUUGCAUAGGAGGUAGUCUUCAGAGACUCCCUUGACUUUGAUAGCAUAUAUAAGAUACUUGAACCUCUCCAGAUGAAUGGCAGAUCUGUUGGUAUAGAACUGAUCUGGACGGUUGUAGUCAGCCAACGUUCUGGGUCGAGCAGCCUCAUCUGCAGGUAGAGUAGUGCCUGUAGCAUCAUUAUCAUACUCAGGGAUUGAAGCCCCAUGAGCACCUAUCUUCUGGCCUGCUGCAUUAUGCUGACGACCUUCCUGGUCAUGCAGGUCUCCCCU